Molecule: ribosomal RNA, 530 nt
Filed under: uncultured Acidobacteriota bacterium
Lineage: Bacteria; Pseudomonadati; Acidobacteriota
Description: bacterial SSU rRNA
Rfam family: Bacterial small subunit ribosomal RNA
Source: RNAcentral
AGAGUUUGAUCCUGGCUCAGAAUCAACGCUGGCGGCGUGCCUAACACAUGCAAGUCGAACGCGAAAGGGGGCAACCCUGAGUAGAGUGGCGUCCGGGUGAGUAACACGUGGAUAAUCUACCUUCAGAUGGGGAAUAACUUUCCGAAAGGGGAGCUAAUACCGCAUAACAUCUCGGAGAGGUAUCUUUCUGAGAUCAAAGUGUGGGACCGCAAGGCCACACGUCAGAAGAGGAGUCCGCGGCCGAUUAGCUAGUUGGCGGGGUAAUGGCCCACCAAGGCGACGAUCGGUAGCCGGCCUGAGAGGGUGGUCGGCCACACUGGCACUGAAACACGGGCCAGACUCCUACGGGAGGCAGCAGUGGGGAAUUUUGGGCAAUGGCCGCAAGGCUGACCCAGCAACGCCGCGUGAGGGAUGAAAUCUUUCGGGAUGUAAACCUCAUAAAUAAGGGAAGAAUAAACGUGUUUUAAUAAAGCACGAUAUGACGGUACCUUAUGUAAGCCCCGGCUAACUCCGUGCCAGCAGCCGCGGUA